UACGUAGGGGGCGAGCGUUGUCCGGAAUCAUUGGGCGUAAAGCGCGUGUAGGCGGCCCGAUAAGUCCGCUGUGAAAGUCCAGGGCUCAACCCUGGGAUGCCGGUGGAUACUGUCGGGCUCGAGUCCGGAAGAGGAGUGUGGAAUUCCUGGUGUAGCGGUGAAAUGCGCAGAUAUCAGGAGGAACACCAAUGGCGAAGGCAGCACUCUGGGACGUGACUGACGCUGAGACGCGAAAGCGUGGGGAGCAAACAGG
Molecule: ribosomal RNA, 253 nt
Filed under: uncultured bacterium
Lineage: Bacteria
Description: partial 16S ribosomal RNA
Rfam family: Bacterial small subunit ribosomal RNA
Source: RNAcentral